UUUCCGUUGGUGAACCAGCGGAAGGAUCAUUACAGAGUUCAUGCCCUUCGGGGUAGACCUCCCACCCUGUUUAAUUACUAUUGUUGCUUUGGCAGGCUGCCCUCACCAUGGGGCGUCCGGGUUCCGCCCGCGUCUUGCCUGCCAGAAGCCCCCUAAUUCUGUGUUCAGUGUCGUCUGAGUACUAUAUAAUAAGUUAAAACUUUCAACAACGGAUCUCUUGGUUCUG
Molecule: unclassified non-coding RNA, 226 nt
Filed under: plant metagenome
Description: partial contains small subunit ribosomal RNA, internal transcribed spacer 1, and 5.8S ribosomal RNA
Source: RNAcentral